UUCGUCCACAGAGAUCACAUGACCACCUCAAUGAGGAUGGAGUAGGACCAGAGUCACGUGACUGAGAGGAUACUAAACCUCACCCUGGAGAUCAUCUACCUGCUGACCGGGGAGAGUUUUCCUCUUCUGAAGUCUGGUGAUCAUGUGACCAUCACAGUGCCUCCAUGUGACUCCCUAAAAACCAAGAGACCCAACAUGGAGAAGGUUCUAGAAGUCACCAAGAAGAUGAUGGAGCUGCUGACGGGAGAGGUUCCUAUAAGGUGUCAGGAUGUCUCUGUCUAUCUC
This is a long non-coding RNA of Nanorana parkeri, 285 nucleotides long. RefSeq lists it as uncharacterized. The record is from RefSeq and is a predicted model, not a curated record. The transcript is spliced from 3 exons. Lineage: Eukaryota; Metazoa; Chordata; Amphibia; Anura; Dicroglossidae.